RNAcentral lists this small RNA (532 nucleotides) under Malus domestica (apple). RNAcentral's name for it is "sRNA MD07G0034900". The record is from RNAcentral. Lineage: Eukaryota; Viridiplantae; Streptophyta; Magnoliopsida; Rosales; Rosaceae.
UGAUUCUUCGUUCUCUGCCCUUCCCUUUUCCAAGUAAAAUCCCUAUCUCUAAAUAUACUCAUCAUCAUCGAAGUUUCUAGUCCUCCGUCUCCACCGCUCAUCAUCAUCAUCGAAUUGUCAAGCCACCAACAUGGUGGCUUAUACCAGUGAGUCUAAAUUCGGAAAGAUCAAGAGAAACAACUCGUCGAGUCCCACCAAUUCUGCUGCAAGCAACUCCGGUCCAGUUGGUCAUCUAGUUGGUUGUGGCCCGAGUUGACGAACACUCCGAUCUAUACAUUAUGAAUAUAAAGGCAAAAGUGAGUCAACCCAAUUUCAGAGAGGGAAAUGGCUUACCACAUGUGCUCCACCAUCUUCUCUCUUCCACAACCCCCAAACUCCCUCCCGCUCUCCCCUUCUUUUUCCCCGACUAAUUUCCAACUUAAAAGCUCUGCAAUUAACACCCACAGACUCAGUUUUCCUUCACUGCAAUUUCAGUCACGAACCUCUAUGCAAAUACACCAUGUUUCUUUGCAAGACCCCGUUGCAGAAGAAG